UGCAGUCGAGCGGUAGAGAGGUGCUUGCACCUCUUGAGAGCGGCGGACGGGUGAGUAAAGCCUAGGAAUCUGCCUGGUAGUGGGGGAUAACGCUCGGAAACGGACGCUAAUACCGCAUACGUCCUACGGGAGAAAGCAGGGGACCUUCGGGCCUUGCGCUAUCAGAUGAGCCUAGGUCGGAUUAGCUAGUUGGUGAGGUAAUGGCUCACCAAGGCGACGAUCCGUAACUGGUCUGAGAGGAUGAUCAGUCACACUGGAACUGAGACACGGUCCAGACUCCUACGGGAGGCAGCAGUGGGGAAUAUUGGACAAUGGGCGAAAGCCUGAUCCAGCCAUGCCGCGUGUGUGAAGAAGGUCUUCGGAUUGUAAAGCACUUUAAGUUGGGAGGAAGGGCAUUAACCUAAUACGUUAGUGUUUUGACGUUACCGACAGAAUAAGCACCGGCUAACUCUGUGCCAGCAGCCGCGGUAAUACAGAGGGUGCAAGCGUUAAUCGGAAUUACUGGGCGUAAAACGCGCGUAGGUGGUUCGUUAAGUUGGAUGUGAAAUCCCCGGGCUCAACCUGGGAACUGCAUUCAAAACUGUCGAGCUAGAGUAUGGUAGAGGGUGGUGGAAUUUCCUGUGUAGCGGUGAAAUGCGUAGAUAUAGGAAGGAACACCAGUGGCGAAGGCGACCACCUGGACUGAUACUGACACUGAGGUGCGAAAGCG
RNAcentral lists this ribosomal RNA (709 nucleotides) under uncultured bacterium. Its description in RNAcentral is "bacterial SSU rRNA". It matches the Rfam family "Bacterial small subunit ribosomal RNA", at positions 56 to 761 of the family's 1533-position model. The record is from RNAcentral.